AAGGAAUUUUCGGCAAUGGGCGCAAGCCUGACCGAGCAACGCCGCGUGCGGGAUGACGGCCUUCGGGUUGUAAACCGCUUUUGGAGGGGAUGACUUCGACAGUACCCUCCGAAUAAGCCCCGGCUAACUCUGUGCCAGCAGCCGCGGUAAGACAGAGGGGGCCAGCGUUGUCCGGAAUUACUGGGCGUAAAGCGCACGCAGGCGGCUGGGCACGUGCCGUGUGAAAGCGCCAGGCUUAACCUGGCGAG
This 248-nucleotide ribosomal RNA is filed under the name uncultured Roseiflexus sp. RNAcentral describes it as "partial 16S ribosomal RNA". It matches the Rfam family "Bacterial small subunit ribosomal RNA", at positions 356 to 621 of the family's 1533-position model. Lineage: Bacteria; Bacillati; Chloroflexota; Chloroflexia; Chloroflexales; Roseiflexaceae. The record is from RNAcentral.